RNAcentral lists this ribosomal RNA (472 nucleotides) under uncultured bacterium. RNAcentral's name for it is "bacterial SSU rRNA". It matches the Rfam family "Bacterial small subunit ribosomal RNA", at positions 28 to 507 of the family's 1533-position model. The record is from RNAcentral.
GACGAACGCUGGCGGCGUGCCUGACACAUGCAAGUCGGACGGUUCUUGCACCUUCAAGCUUGCUUGUUGGUUCAAGGAUAGUGGCGGACGGGUGAGUAACGCGUGAACACCUACCCAUUGGAGGGGUACAACCCGUCGAAAGGCGGGCUAAUACCGCGUAAGCCGUGAGGUGAAAGGCUGCUCUUUGGUGGCUGCCGAUGGAUGGGUUCGCGUCCUAUCAGCUGGUUGGUGGGGUAACGGCCUACCAAGGCUAAGACGGGUAGCCGGUCUGAGAGGAUGGCCGGCCACACUGGAACUGAGACACGGUCCAGACUCCUACGGGAGGCAGCAGUGGGGAAUCUUGGGCAAGUGGGGGAGACCCUGACCCAGCGACGCCGCGUGAGGGAUGAAGGUUUUCGGAUCGUAAACCUCUGUUGUACGGGAAGAAGGAUGUGACGGUACCGUACGAGUAACGCCCCGGACAAACUACGUG